RNAcentral lists this microRNA precursor (84 nucleotides) under Bombyx mori (domestic silkworm). RNAcentral's name for it is "mir-2807 microRNA precursor family". It matches the Rfam family "mir-2807 microRNA precursor family". The record is from Rfam by way of RNAcentral. Lineage: Eukaryota; Metazoa; Arthropoda; Insecta; Lepidoptera; Bombycidae.
UUAAGUCAAAUUUGUAUGGAGUUGGAACAUUUGCCUUCGUUUGCCGCUAGGGGCACUGUUCCAACUGCAUACAAAUUUCAGGUA